CUAAUGUCAACUGAAAGAACAGGAAUCCAAGGAGAGAAAUAACAGUCCAUGACAUCUUGAAACAACGAGAGAGAGAGGAAUAAACGUUUACUAGCAUACUGAUGUUAGCUUAUCAAUGGCAGGAGUGCCAACCCUGUCCUCGUUUGUUGAUCUGUAAGACAGUGAAGCAUCCAGUCAGUAUUACUUUGACGUUUCAUGGAAUGGGCCUUGUCUCAUAGACAGGGCCAUUUUCUUGGUUUUACAUAUAGUUUGGUUAUUAUUACAUGUCAUAUAAACCACCCAACAACAUAUGGAAAACGUAUAGAUUUGGAACGAAAUAGGAAUCGGUAUCCGAACUUCUUUUACCUGCAUUCGACCAUUUACUUGUCAUGUCAUCUGUAGCUCAGGGUAAUACACACAAGUUAGAUGAUAUACAUCGUCUCAAGCCACGGUUCGAGUCCGCAUAUAGCUCUCUCCAGAAUGGGAGAGGAUCGUACAUUUUGGCCGUGGUUUGCGACGAUGGAUGAUAUAAUGAAAAGUAAAUCUUCCUCUAUCAAUACCUUGAAUUCACAUAAAUCACGUUUAAAUAAUUAGACUAAAAACGUAUGUCUUUGCAUAAUUUUGUUUGAAAAAACAAUACAAUCAGAACUGUCCUUAUUUAAAUUCUUUGUACAAUAUUUUUGCAAGUUUAUAAGAUAUUAGAUUAUAUAUAUAUGAAGAAUUGUUACCAAGAUAAAAUUGAGUCCACUCUUUAAACGGGUCUUUCCAACCAAGAGUUUUGUGAUGUUAGUUUUUCAAUUUUAUUCAGUUUCUUUUCUCCGUCAUUUAACCCUUUGAUAUUAUUUUCAUUUUCAGAAUUUGGAGGGAAUCCGUCCAGCUAUUUUCAUGUUGAUACUGUU
Molecule: long non-coding RNA, 878 nt
Organism: Saccostrea echinata
Lineage: Eukaryota; Metazoa; Mollusca; Bivalvia; Ostreida; Ostreidae
Exons: 3
Source: RefSeq, a predicted model, not a curated record